GAAGGUGUCCUCAAUGGAAGAGUUGUGACUCUUCGACCUACCUGCACAUCCCACAGACAUGCCUUCACCGAGGUUUCAUUGAAACAGGAUUUCGGUGAGGUUUCGGGCCCAAAGACGCAGCCGACAGACGCAGGCGGACGGGACGGCGACCUGCUUUUGGACACGAGGCGCAGCAGCUUCUGCACACAGGUGACAUCGUCGGUUCUCUGCUCUGUAAAGACUGGACUUGGAAGGAUCGGGGAGGUUUCGGGCCGACGGCCGACAGACUUCUGGGAAAGGCGGACGGGACGCCGACCUGCAUUUGGACACGUGUGAGUAGUGCGAUGUUGUGUGCUUAUGGCAAGCCUUCUUAACAUUGAAGAGCUGGGCUGGAUAUGUGUUGAAGACCUCGCUCAUUCAGUUUUGCCUCAUCAAAACUAAAUUCCAGAUAUCUGCGACGUCAUU
Long non-coding RNA from Phycodurus eques (leafy seadragon), 444 nucleotides. RefSeq lists it as uncharacterized. The transcript is spliced from 4 exons. The record is from RefSeq and is a predicted model, not a curated record. NCBI's taxonomy places the organism in Eukaryota, Metazoa, Chordata, Actinopteri, Syngnathiformes, Syngnathidae.